This 696-nucleotide ribosomal RNA is filed under the name uncultured bacterium. RNAcentral describes it as "bacterial SSU rRNA". It matches the Rfam family "Bacterial small subunit ribosomal RNA", at positions 32 to 715 of the family's 1533-position model. The record is from RNAcentral.
AACGCUAGCUACAGGCUUAACACAUGCAAGUCGAGGGGAAACGACAUCGAAAGCUUGCUUUUGAUGGGCGUCGACCGGCGCACGGGUGAGUAACGCGUAUCCAACCUGCCCAUCACUUGGGGAUAACCUUGCGAAAGUAAGACUAAUACCCAAUGAUAUCUCUAGAAGACAUCUGAAGGAGAUUAAAGAUUUAUCGGUGAUGGAUGGGGAUGCGUCUGAUUAGCUUGUUGGCGGGGUAACGGCCCACCAGGGCGACGAUCAGUAGGGGUUCUGAGAGGAAGGUCCCCCACAUUGGAACUGAGACACGGUCCAAACUCCUACGGGAGGCAGCAGUGAGGAAUAUUGGUCAAUGGGCGAGAGCCUGAACCAGCCAAGUAGCGUGCAGGAUGACGGCCCUAUGGGUUGUAAACUGCUUUUAUAAGGGAAUAAAGUGAGUCUCGUGAGGCUUUUUGCAUGUACCUUAUGAAUAAGGACCGGCUAAUUCCGUGCCAGCAGCCGCGGUAAUACGGAAGGUCCGGGCGUUAUCCGGAUUUAUUGGGUUUAAAGGGAGCGUAGGCCGGAGAUUAAGCGUGUUGUGAAAUGUAGAUGCUCAACAUCUGCACUGCAGCGCGAACUGGUUUCCUUGAGUACGCACAAAGUGGGCGGAAUUCGUGGUGUAGCGGUGAAAUGCUUAGAUAUCACGAAGAACUCCGAUUG